ACGGAAGGCAGCAGUGGGGAAUAUUGGGCAAUGGGCGAAAGCCUGACCCAGCAACGCCGCGUGAAGGAAGAAGGUCUUCGGAUUGUAAACUUCUUUUAUGAGGGACGAAGGACGUGACGGUACCUCAUGAAUAAGCCACGGCUAACUACGUGCCAGCAGCCGCGGUAAUACGUAGGUGGCAAGCGUUAUCCGGAUUUACUGGGUGUAAAGGGCGCGUAGGCGGGGAUGCAAGUCAGAUGUGAAAUCCAUGGGCUUAACUCAUGAACUGCAUUUGAAACUGUAUCUCUUGAGUGUCGGAGAGGUAGAUGGAAUUCCUAGUGUAGCGGUGAAAUGCGUAGAUAUUAGGAGGAACACCAGUGGCGAAGGCGAUCUACUGGACGAUAACUGACGCUGAGGCGCGAAAGCGUGGGGAGCAAACAGGAUUAGAUACCCUGGUA
Molecule: ribosomal RNA, 437 nt
Filed under: uncultured Oscillospiraceae bacterium
Lineage: Bacteria; Bacillati; Bacillota; Clostridia; Eubacteriales; Oscillospiraceae
Description: bacterial SSU rRNA
Rfam family: Bacterial small subunit ribosomal RNA
Source: RNAcentral